AUUGAACGCUGGCGGCAGGCCUAACACAUGCAAGUCGAACGGUAACAGGAAGCAGCUUGCUGCUUUGCUGACGAGUGGCGGACGGGUGAGUAAUGUCUGGGAAACUGCCUGAUGGAGGGGGAUAACUACUGGAAACGGUAGCUAAUACCGCAUAACGUCGCAAGACCAAAGAGGGGGACCUUCGGGCCUCUUGCCAUCGGAUGUGCCCAGAUGGGAUUAGCUAGUAGGUGGGGUAACGGCUCACCUAGGCGACGAUCCCUAGCUGGUCUGAGAGGAUGACCAGCCACACUGGAACUGAGACACGGUCCAGACUCCUACGGGAGGCAGCAGUGGGGAAUAUUGCACAAUGGGCGCAAGCCUGAUGCAGCCAUGCCGCGUGUAUGAAGAAGGCCUUUCGGGUUGUAAAGUACUUUUCAGCGGGGAGGAAGGCGAUAAGGUUAAUAACCUUGUCGAUUGACGUUACCCGCAGAAGAAGCACCGCUAACU
Molecule: ribosomal RNA, 486 nt
Filed under: Enterobacter hormaechei
Lineage: Bacteria; Pseudomonadati; Pseudomonadota; Gammaproteobacteria; Enterobacterales; Enterobacteriaceae
Description: bacterial SSU rRNA
Rfam family: Bacterial small subunit ribosomal RNA
Source: RNAcentral